Long non-coding RNA from Miniopterus natalensis, 3212 nucleotides. RefSeq lists it as uncharacterized. Lineage: Eukaryota; Metazoa; Chordata; Mammalia; Chiroptera; Miniopteridae. The record is from RefSeq and is a predicted model, not a curated record.
UUAUUUCUUUUGUUUAAUGAAGCAUAAUGAUCCCCUCAUUUCUUUUUAACCCCUUUUUAAAAGAAACUAUUAAUCUGAUUAUAACUAGAAAACAUGUGUUAGAAAGAAUUGUCAUAUUUUAGACUAUUAGUGUACAUGCAAUUUUGUUUUAUUAUUAUUAUUCAGCAAGCUUAGCUGUGUGCCAGACAACUAAUCUGGACAUGUAAUUAGAAUUCAAACUAUGACUUGCUGAAAUUUGUAGCCCCUCUUAAGACCAAAGGAAAUCAGUAAUAAACUACCUCUUUCUUUGAAAUAAAUUUCAAAAAUGAGAUUAAGCUGUUUUGCAUUUUUUACAAAUUACUAUUAGAGCUCUAAAGUUGAUUGUCUUAAUAUUAUAAGAGUAACAUCAGUUUUAGAAUAUCACAUUACUAAUAUGUGUUUAUAUAUUUGUCUGAUUAUUUGCAUAUACAAAGGACUGUAAAGCCUUCCUGUACAUUUUGCUUUUUGUUGGGGAAAUGAUUUCCUUUUGCUUUUUUACCCCCCUUGACUGUCUUAGAGAUGCUUUAAAAGAUCUUCCUUUUAGAAAGAUAAAUUUCAAAUAUUAGAAUUGAUAUUAAAUACAUAUGAAUUUAUUCUAAAGAUUUCUUAUCAGUUUAAUAUACUUCUGUUUAAUCCUGUCUCAUUUUACUAAAGAAUUUUUGCACUGGAAAGACAUGGGUUCUAAGUGUAAAUAAUAAACUAUUUUGUAAUAGAUUUGAGAUUUGAGUUUUCCUGUUUAAAGAUUUUUUUAUAUCUUUUUUUUCUCAUUUGGUUUAAUAUAUUUGUCUUGUGUUUGAACUUCCUUUGUUUUUUAUUAUCUAGCAUGUUUUUGUUUUCCUAAUAUUUAAAAACUUAACAUUUGGCAUGGAGUACAUAUUGGUAUCUACUAUUUUCUUUCUGUGAUUUUUAAAGUUAAGCUACUUUUAUUUUUAGAGUGCUCAAGUAUGGAAAACUUUGUUUAUAUCUUUGAGGGAGGACUAUGUAGAUAUGAUUUUAAUUUUUAAAAAAUAUAGUACUUGGUGUUUGUGGGUUAUGUGUGUGGUUUUUGCCAUUAAACAAUCAAAUAUUUGGCAGCAGAGGAUUAAAGGUUUAUUUGUUUUUUAUUUCUUUUCCUAAGCUAUUUUUAAAUAAUAAUGGCUAACUCAGAGCAUUAUGGUUCACAUACGAUACAUUAUAAAUCUUUGUAGUUUAACAAUUAAUAUUUUUAUAUAAUUGAUAGCCACUAAAUCAUUAAGAUUUGGGUGAAACAAAUUAAAAAGCUACUUAUAUACAUUUGGUUACACCACCUCUGCUUGGAAACAUUAAAAAACCAUUGGCCCAAUAUUCAUAUGUUUAUUACUUAUAUUUUAAUUUGUUUAAAGAGUAUAUUCUAAAGUUUGUUCUGUUAGAAUUGUAAUGUUUUAAAAUAUUUGGAAAUAAUCAAUAUUAUUGUUCCCUCAGGCAUGGCAAAAGACAAAAGUUGGAAAUAAUGGUAAUUUCUGUCAUCCUUAAAAAGUCUGAUAAUUUGGGGAGAAAGGUAGUUAAAACUUUCUCUCCACCCCUUAAGUAUUUUUUUAAACUUGGUUUUAUAAGUUUCAGAAGCAUGGACAAACUAUAUCUCUGGUAUUUUCCUUGUGAGUCCGCUUUACCAGUUCUCUAACACCUACGUGUACACACACACACACACACACACACACACAGACACACCCACACCCACCCCUACCCCUGUACUGCUUUGAAAAUGAAUGCCCUAAAGAGAACUGAAAGCAGAAACAUAUUAAUCUGAUUGUUUGAAGAGGCUUUGAAUGACAAAACAUAUCACAGGUGUUUCUAAUCAAGCUAUUUCUAUUUAACAUUAUUUUCAAGUUAGUAUUUUUUGGUGUGUGUUUUUUUAACAUAGGCAAGAUUGAGGUCAUUUUGAAGACCUUACCUCUGUGUUCAGGGAUCCACUGUGGAACUGCAGGAGGGGGAAAUCUGUUGAGUGUCUUCAUGCUAUAAUACAUGACAUUUUUAUUGCAGGUUUUGACCUUUAGGAGAGAGCCAAUUCUGGAGAACAACCUAACUUCUUUGAUUGAGCACUCACAUAAUGCAUUGGAACAUGUUAGGAGAUUAAGGUUUGAUAACAAUAAAAUGAAGACCGUAAUAAAACAGCCCCAUACUUAGUUCAAUUCUUAUCUUAAUGACAACUUGCUAACCUCCCCUUACCCUCUCUACACAUUGAAGUUUGGUGUUUAUUUAAUCCAAUUUAGAGAAAGAAGAAUGCCAUAGGCAUAAGACACCAUCCAUAGAACUGACUAUACCAGGGGUACGUAAGGCACAUGAAGAAAGAAUUGAGACCAGAAGCUGCAAACAGACAUUGUCUGUUCUAAGCAGAGUUCCUGACAACAGACCACUCUAGUGAAGGGUAAUAAAUGCCAUGUGAGAUGAUCCCCGCAACACAAAACUGUAAGUAACUUUUGGGAAUUACAGGGGGAUUAGAAAAUUGUCUCUGCUGACUCAAUAAAAUCUUCAUUUUGUAAUUUGUGGCCUGUAUGCUUGUAAAUUAAGAUACACUAGACCUCAAGUAGAGGUCUAGUUAGUGGGUGAGAAUUUAAGCCAAAAUACAGUGCAAUAACUUGGGACCUUUUUCUUAAAACCUGAGGAAAAGGUUACAUGAAUUUGGAUAACUAGAUUAGAAUUAAGUUAUUGGACCUCUGCCUGGAAAACCAAUUAGAGGACUUUAGUCUUGAUAUGGCAAGAAAUAGGGAGGCAGAAUAGCCCAGCCUUUUGAAAUAACAUAGUGGAAGUUGACAAAGUAAUGGAAUUUUUGUAAAUUAAGUGUGGCUGUACUAUAUAUAGGAUUCUAAGAAAUAAAGUCUAGUGGCAAGGAAACUGGCAUGUGACUAUUAUAGUAAUCUAGGAGUGAAGAAAUCCUGAACAGAAUAGUGCCAAUGAGAAGGGAGAUGAAAGAAUAAAUUAAAGAUAUUUCAAAAGGAAAAACUGUAGAACAUCACAAUGAGUUGGAUAAAAGGGUGGUGUCAAAAAAUACAUAUUCUGUACUAGACAAUCAUGGUAUCACUGAAAGUGGACAGUUAAGAGAAGCUGGUUUGAGAAGAUGUUGAGUCCCAUUUUUGUAAUACUGAAUUUAAGCUGAUAUGCAGGCAUCUUAUUUGAAAUGCUUUGAUUAAAAGUUGCUGACUCAGAGGGAAGACGGGGCGGGGGAGUGGAUGGGGAGA